UACGUAGGUGGCAAGCGUUGUCCGGAUUUACUGGGCGUAAAGCGUAUGCAGGCGGGUUUUUAAGUAGGAAGUGAAAGGUUGGAGCUCAACUCUAACACUGCUCCCUAUACUGGGAUUCUUGAGUGCCGGAGAGGAAGACGGAACGACACGUGUAGCGGUGAAAUGCGUUGAGAUGUGUCGGAACACCAAUGGCGAAAGCAGUCUUCUGGACGGAUACUGACGCUGAGAUACGAAAGCCAAGGUAGCAAACAGG
This 253-nucleotide ribosomal RNA is filed under the name uncultured bacterium. RNAcentral describes it as "partial 16S ribosomal RNA". It matches the Rfam family "Bacterial small subunit ribosomal RNA", at positions 524 to 776 of the family's 1533-position model. The record is from RNAcentral.